RNAcentral lists this ribosomal RNA (253 nucleotides) under uncultured bacterium. RNAcentral's name for it is "partial 16S ribosomal RNA". It matches the Rfam family "Bacterial small subunit ribosomal RNA", at positions 524 to 776 of the family's 1533-position model. The record is from RNAcentral.
UACGUAGGGGGCUAGCGUUGUCCGGAAUCAUUGGGCGUAAAGAGCGUGUAGGCGGUCCGGUAAGUCCGCUGUGAAAGUCGGGGGCUCAACCCUCGAAUGCCGGUGGAUACUGUCGGGCUAGAGUGCGGAAGGGGCGAGUGGAAUUCCUGGUGUAGCGGUGAAAUGCGCAGAUAUCAGGAGGAACACCGAUGGCGAAGGCAGGUCACUGGGCCGCAACUGACGCUGAGGAGCGAAAGCAUGGGGAGCGAACAGG